Non-coding RNA from Pelobates cultripes (western spadefoot toad), 263 nucleotides. The record is from the annotation of a GenBank genome assembly. NCBI's taxonomy places the organism in Eukaryota, Metazoa, Chordata, Amphibia, Anura, Pelobatidae.
GCUUAACGUUGAAUUCAGUUUCCAAUUUAUAAUAAAAACCACCGUUUAAUGAAUAAACCCUAUUGAUAACCUGUGUUGAGCUACUUCUUUCCAAGAUUCUCUUGUGCAAAUAGCGCUUUAAAGGGACACUAUAUACACCCGAACAACUACAGCUUAUUGUAGUUGUUUUGGUGUCUAUAGCCUAUCCUGCAGGCUUUUUGCUGUAAACACUGCAUUUAGUAACACCACUAGUGGCCACUCCACAGACAGCCACUGGAUCAGGC